GGGGUCCACACGGUAGCCGUGCAGUGAAGAGAAAGAAAAGAGACGUGAGGCAGAUGGGACGACGGACUCCCUCUUCGGCCGCACAAGCCUAGAGGACGACGCCACGUCGGUAGGAUCGAUGGCAGUAGCAGGAGGUGGCGCAACAGGUGCAGCAACAGCAGGCUCGGUCUCCGCCGGGUCCUCCUCAACAGAAGGUGAAGUCGGAGGUGGUGCAGGUGGUGCAUGACCAGUGCCUGGUCCACAGUGAACUGAGGGCGGCAAGUCAAAACUCAGCUCCAUACGCCAUAGCACUCCUCUCGUCAAGCGUCCUCGCUCAUCCGUCCGGUCCUCCAUGACCCUUCCCCUGUACGUCGCUCGGUGACCAGGGACAUCAAUCACCCAAGCGGUGGGGCAGCACGAUCGACGAGCUCAAACCUGAUCCCCCUAGUCGAGCCGGUCUCCACAUCUACCUCUCCUGUAAGUACAUCCUCCUCCACCACCCUCAUCAAGGGGUCCACACGGUAGCCGUGCAGUGAAGAGAAAGAAAAGAGACGUGAGGCAGAUGGGACGACGGACUCCCUCUUCGGCCGCACAAGCCUAGAGGACGACGCCACGUCGGUAGGAUCGAUGGCAGUAGCAGGAGGUGGCGCAACAGGUGCAGCAACAGCAGGCUCGGUCUCCGCCGGGUCCUCCUCAACAGAAGGUGAAGUCGGAAGUGGUGCAGGUGGUGCAUGACCAGUGCCUGGUCCACAGUGAACUGAGGGCGGCAAGUCAAAACUCAGCUCCAUAUGCC
RNAcentral lists this long non-coding RNA (772 nucleotides) under Lotus japonicus. Its description in RNAcentral is "long non-coding RNA (LJAP_LNC001800)". The record is from RNAcentral. Lineage: Eukaryota; Viridiplantae; Streptophyta; Magnoliopsida; Fabales; Fabaceae.